GACGAACGCUGGCGGCGUGCUUAACACAUGCAAGUCGAACGGAAAGGCCCUGCUUUUGUGGGGUGCUCGAGUGGCGAACGGGUGAGUAACACGUGAGUAACCUGCCCUUGACUUUGGGAUAACUUCAGGAAACUGGUGCUAAUACCGGAUAGGAGCUCCUGCUGCAUGGUGGGGGUUGGAAAGUUUCGGCGGUUGGGGAUGGACUCGCGGCUUAUCAGCUUGUUGGGGGGGUAGUGGCUUACCAAGGCUUUGACGGGUAGCCGGCCUGAGAGGGUGACCGGCCACAUUGGGACUGAGAUACGGCCCAGACUCCUACGGGAGGCAGCAGUGGGGAAUAUUGCACAAUGGGCGGAAGCCUGAUGCAGCAACGCCGCGUGCGGGAUGACGGCCUUCGGGUUGUAAACCGCUUUCGCCUGUGACGAAGCGUGAGUGACGGUAAUGGGUAAAGAAGCACCGGCUAACUACGUG
This 468-nucleotide ribosomal RNA is filed under the name uncultured bacterium. RNAcentral describes it as "partial 16S ribosomal RNA". It matches the Rfam family "Bacterial small subunit ribosomal RNA", at positions 28 to 507 of the family's 1533-position model. The record is from RNAcentral.